RNAcentral lists this transfer RNA (72 nucleotides) under Paenibacillus alvei TS-15. RNAcentral describes it as "tRNA-Pro". It matches the Rfam family "tRNA". From Rfam's summary of the family: Transfer RNA (tRNA) molecules are approximately 80 nucleotides in length. Their secondary structure includes four short double-helical elements and three loops (D, anti-codon, and T loops). Lineage: Bacteria; Bacillati; Bacillota; Bacilli; Caryophanales; Paenibacillaceae. RNAcentral also lists the same sequence under 1 other name. The record is from RNAcentral.
ACGGAUGUGGUGCAGUGGUAGCACGCUUGCCUUGGGAGCAAGAGGUCACAGGUUCGAACCCUGUCAUUCGUA